Molecule: signal recognition particle RNA, 92 nt
Filed under: Candidatus Babeliales bacterium
Lineage: Bacteria; Candidatus Babeliae; Candidatus Babeliales
Description: signal recognition particle sRNA small type
Rfam family: Bacterial small signal recognition particle RNA
About the family: The signal recognition particle (SRP) is a universally conserved ribonucleoprotein involved in the co-translational targeting of proteins to membranes. Archaeal SRP consists of a 7S RNA and homologues of the eukaryotic SRP19 and SRP54 proteins.
Source: RNAcentral
UAUGGGAAAGUAUAAGGGUUAGUUUGCAGAAUCUGUCAGAUCCGAAAGGAAGCAGCAGGGGUAAAUUUAAUCUUGUAUACUUUCCCUGUUUU